GGGUGCAAUCAUACUAGCACUAAUGCACUGGAUACCAUCAAAAUUUUAAAGUUAAGCGUGCUUGGGCGAGAGUAGUACUAGGAUGGGUGGCCUCCUGGGAAGUCCUCGUAUUGCACCCC
Molecule: ribosomal RNA, 119 nt
Filed under: Beta vulgaris subsp. vulgaris (sugar beet)
Lineage: Eukaryota; Viridiplantae; Streptophyta; Magnoliopsida; Caryophyllales; Amaranthaceae
Source: RNAcentral